UACGAAGGGUGCAAGCGUUACUCGGAAUUACUGGGCGUAAAGCGUGCGUAGGUGGUUUGUUAAGUCUGUUGUGAAAGCCCGGGGCUCAACUCCGGAAUUGCCUUUAAGACUGCAUCGCUAGAAUUGUGGAGAGGUGAGUGGAAUUCCGAGUGUAGAGGUGAAAUUCGUAGAUAUUCGGAAGAACACCAGUGGCGAAGGCGACUCACUGGACACAUAUUGACGCUGAGGUGCGAAAGCGUGGGGAGCAAACAGG
RNAcentral lists this ribosomal RNA (253 nucleotides) under uncultured bacterium. RNAcentral describes it as "partial 16S ribosomal RNA". It matches the Rfam family "Bacterial small subunit ribosomal RNA", at positions 524 to 776 of the family's 1533-position model. The record is from RNAcentral.